CAACCGUUGCAACUCAACCAAGUACGCCGACGUGAACAGUAUAUCGACGUGAGCAGUAUUUUUCGACGGGAACCAGGUUCAUUUCUACCGGAGUAGGGUUCAAUGCUUAUGGUCACUGAUCAAGUGGGUUGCUAGUGGAGGAAAGAGUUUACACGCUCGGCUAGCAAAU
Molecule: long non-coding RNA, 169 nt
Organism: Solanum dulcamara
Lineage: Eukaryota; Viridiplantae; Streptophyta; Magnoliopsida; Solanales; Solanaceae
Exons: 2
Source: RefSeq, a predicted model, not a curated record